This is a long non-coding RNA of Chiloscyllium plagiosum (whitespotted bambooshark), 3803 nucleotides long. RefSeq lists it as uncharacterized. The record is from RefSeq and is a predicted model, not a curated record. NCBI's taxonomy places the organism in Eukaryota, Metazoa, Chordata, Chondrichthyes, Orectolobiformes, Hemiscylliidae.
UCCCCCCCCCCCCACUCUGAGUUUCCUGAAUGCAUCAAACUGACUCCCUACCGCCUGUUUGUUUUUAAUUAGAGAGGGAGACGUCAGAACUUCGUCUUAUUUACAUUGCAGUUUGCCACGGAAUAUGCCUGCAAGGGCUAUCCUUUCUAAAAUAAAACAUGAAGUGGGGGAAACAAGCACCAUUAAAAUUAUUUAAACGAGUCUAUAGCAAGAAGUUAUGUUUAUGACUGCACGCCUGUUCGGUGCUAAGCCUGCAAGCUGACAUUGCGAAAAUAUUAGCAGUGCAGUGUCGAAGCAGCAGUGUGGGUACCGUAUUGCAAAUACCUGGAUAAAUCCACCACUGUACAUUGCACUGAUAUAUGCAUCUGUACACUUCGUGCAAGUUGCAAUCUUAUAAUUCUUUGGAACUAGGAGAUCCACGCAGUCAACUUUGUCCAUGACCUUCCCAUUCGGUGGAGCGAUAUCACAGACUUCUAGUCCCAGUCCUUUCUGGAGGGACAGAAACGUUUAAGCGUCAUUGUCAUGGAGAAGGCGUCAAACUUUGCACUAAGUUGCAGUGGUAACGUGACAUUCCCGGGAAAUGGCCUUUUCAAGUUAGUACAGUGAAGGCAGCCUGAUCUCAGGAUAUAAGGAUGGCUUACAGCACGUUUCGCCAGACAGCACAAGUCAAACUAUGCAAAGGUAUAAUACAGUUAUCCUAUUCAAGGAAGGGAUUUGAAUUAGAGGAGGGCAAAGGAAGUGUUUCAAAGAUUCCCUGAAGACUUCCCUCAAGAAACGCAACAUUGAUGUUAACACAUGGGAGACCCUUGUUCAGAAGAAACCAACUUGGAGGAAAGUCCUAUAUGAAGGAACACCAUGCUUUGAGAACACCCAUUGGCAAGAGUAACUAUGGAAAACGAACCAGACAAAGGAAUCCCAAUGGUUUCAAGGCCAAGGACCAUUCUGACCUCCUGGAAACACUUGCUAAAUGUGUGGUCAUCUCAUCAGCCUCACAAGGACUCACAGAAUCAGUGACCAGUGACACAGAAUUUCUUGGAUGGAUAAUCAGAUUCAUUAGCUUGUGUUUUCCGAUGACAACAGUCCCACUGCACUGCAGUUGACUCUGAAUUGUCUGUUAAGAUCCCAGAUGAUGUUUUUACUGAACAAGUCAGAUAAAAGACUGAAACAUGGCUUAUUAGGUCAUAUUUUGUUUAUUUUUUGGUUUUAAUUAGGUGGUUUCAAAACCGAAACACAAGGACAAAAUGCUAUACGUUGGAUUUAUCAAUGAUAAUGAACUUUAUUAUGCAAAACAAAUGAAGACAGAGCAGAAUAAAUCAAACUAUUUUCACAUAACGCACAUUCAAAAAUUUGCACCACAUAGUCAAUCUCCCAGUGCAUGAAAUUGUUGGAAUUCUAAAGUGUAUUCCAGUGAAGCUAGGUUUGUAGUAGAUAGUAUGAGAGAACCCCUGGCAGAUUGUACUAUGAGUGCAUUAAGGAAAGGAGCAUAUUUGACUGGUCCAUUCCAAACUGCAUAUCCUUUGGCUGUUCACAAAUAAAGUUAAAAACCAUACCCAAACUUACAAAGUGCACAACAGAAAUUCCAAUAUUAGAUACAGUUCUGCAAUUGGACAGCAUUUGUUACUCAAUUCUGAGUGUGAGAAGAAAUAUAUUGACAAUUUAGAAUUGUCAGUCGGAUCAUAGUAUUGUACACUUGUGUGUACCGGAAGCUACAUAUAUGGAUUCACAAGAUAGAGUAUGUUGAUGCACUGUGCCUGUUUCAAUAUAACAAAAUAGAUGAAAGUCUUAUCUGCUUCACUUCUUUGGACACUGCCUUGACCAAUCAAAGUCAACCUACCUUGUUUAAAAUUUAAACAAAGAUUGGCAGUUAACUCUCAAUCAUCAUUCACAGAUUCUCUCUCCAUGGUAACACCUCUACCAAUUGGAGUCUGUUUGCCAAUGAAUCAACAUUCACCUGUCAUACAGUAUCAAUGUGGAUUUCCCUUUAUUUUGGUCUCUCUCAUGAAUUGGCCUGAUGAGUAUAAUAAUCUGUGUGCUUUUUCAGCAAAUGAACACAACUAAACAACUAUUUGUGGACUAUAUUGCUCCUUUGGUUGAAAUUCAGUAACUGUACAAAGAUUAGCAAUCAAACCAGGGACUUUAUAAAUCUAAAAGUUUCAAUAUUGUAUUUGGUGGGAUAUUUACUGAUAGAGACAUUGGGGCUUGACAAAAUUUACAUGCUAUCUUUGUAUGACCAGCUUCAAUAAAAAGAAAAUUCUCCCCUUCCUCAAUAUAUAUAUUUUGUUUCUCCGUGAUCCAGUCAGUGGAAGAACAGAUUUUUAAUUCAUAAAAUGUGCUCUAUCAAAUACUCUCUUGUUCCUGAACUAUGUUGAAAAAAAGCAUAAGUUCAUGGUUUACAACUCCCUGCAUGUAAAAUAAAGUUUUCUUGCAGUUUUGUGGGCACUUUUGCAGGUAAUAAUGAAAAGGGAUUUGGGUGAAACUGCACUAAUGUUGUCGAUAAUGUUGCAAUAACCUGAGUGAGCAUGGUUUCUUUCUGUUAAUAUAAUUUAGUUGCAAGGCAAUAUCCAAUGAAGCAAAUAUUUGACGUCCAUGUAUGUUAUAGAAGAUAUACAACUCUAAUCAGCACAUAGCACUGCUCCUUCUAACAUAUCAAUGAUUAUUUUUCAUUUGUUGAUGGGACAUGACACUGCGGGUAAGUUAUUCCCAUUUCUUCCUGGUCCUUAAGAACUUGGUAAUGAACCAUUGUAAUAAUUUGUCUUAUUGAACUGUUGUAUUUUAUGUGGUGUGGAUUUAUUCACAGUGCUGCUAGGCAGGGAGUCCCAAGAUUUUGAACCAGUAAAUAGAAAGUGAUAUAGUCCAAUUUAGGAUAGAGCUUAAUCUGCAAGUGAACCUAUGGUAAUGUUCCCCCAAUAUGCUUGUAGCCCUUGCCCUCCUCGGUCAUAGAUGUUGUUAGUUUAGAAAAUGUUGUCCUGGAAAAUAAUUAAUAGAAGCUUUCUAGUUGCAGUUAUUUCACACAAAUAACUUCCUACUGAAACAAACAUUUGCAUCCCAUGUAAUGGCCUCACAUUGACUAAAUGUAAGUCUUAUGCGCAAUCAAAUAAGCCUGGGUCUUGACAGCAUGGGAUAUGUUUUAAACAAUGCUGCUGGCAUGAGUGGUCAAGACAUUGUCAAUUAAUCAGUGGUACAUUGUCUUCCAGAGCUGAUAGUUUGUAAGACAAAGAAAGUGACUAGUUUGCAAAUAACAUUGAAAUGUUGAUGCCUGGGUCAUCAAUCCUUCAUUGCUCUUUUCUCUGUUUUCUUGGUCCCUACCAACUUUUGUAGUGUUUGAUAGCUGUUUUCUGUUGCAUGCAUCUUGUCAGGAUUCAUUUGUGGUUUUUUUGGGCUGCACAUGUUGCUGUAUUCAUCAGUAUGUGUUGCCCAUCUCCAGUUUCUCUUGGUGAGUUACACUUUUGAAGUACCCAAGUCUGAGCGACGUACGUUGAUCAACAGAACUGUCAGGGAGAGCUUUCCAGAGUUUUGACCUAGCAGCACUGAAGGAAGGGCAAUUUGGAUGGUGUUGGAAGUGAUUUUUGUCUCCCUUUUUUAUAAAACUGUUCUCAGUCGGUUGGAACAAGUAUAUAUUUUUUCAUUUUUAGCAUGCUUCAAUUAAACUUAGUUAACCAGAUUAAUAAUAAAGGAAAGCUAAUUCCAAGGUUUUCUUGAGUGAUAGAUUGGAGUGUUAUUAUCUCCCCCUAAAAAGAGUCACAUCAACAAAAACACACACACGUCCAGGCACAUACACAAACACGCACACACACAAACAGAGA